UGUGUACUCCCUCCGUUCCAAAAUACUUGACUUCCAUUUGUCCAAAAAUGGAUGUGCCUAUAUACUAAAACAUGUCUAGAUACAUAUAUAUUUUGACAAAUAGAAGGCAUGUAUUGUGCAAUGGAGGGAGUAGAAU
Triticum aestivum (bread wheat) is the source of this 136-nucleotide non-coding RNA. The record is from Rfam. Lineage: Eukaryota; Viridiplantae; Streptophyta; Magnoliopsida; Poales; Poaceae.